UGAGGUGAUUUCUAAAGUCUAAGUAAAGGGAACUAUAAUGAAACCAGAGAUCAAAUUUUGAAAGGCAAAUGGCAAAGAAAGAAGAAAGAUCAUUGCCAUUAGACAGAAAGAAAAGUUGUGUCAACAAGGGCCCAGAGCUCAGUGUGUACAGAUGAUGCAUACUGUUUCAUACCGCUGUUAUAAAAAGGCCGUUUUAAUUACCCCACAGAAAUGUGCCUGGGAUGGAGAAUUGUGAGAGUUCAUGAACAGCACUGCCCAACAAUUUAUUGGAAGAGCAGCUGGAACCACAAAGCAAUUGUAUCUCUGCAAAAUAAAAAAGGAUUUCAUUACAACUUGGGGCUGGUGAUACCUAAGGAUAAGAGGCAGAAACAGAGUAAGGAAGCUGACCUAAAGUUAAAAUGGACAGUGGAAUCAAAACAGCCCUGGAAAAGGAGUCUGAGGAUCCUUCAGUCACUAACAAGUGUGCAUCUUGAACAACUCACUUGAUCUUUCUUCGACUUCAUUUCCUCACAUGCAAAAUGAAGAGGCUUGUCUACAUCUAGUUUUGAAUUUUCUAUGUAAAUUUUAAAAAUGAAGAAUGGGGUAUUUGCAACUCUCAAAAGAAUUUCAAAUACCAGAUGAAGUCCCCAUGACAUGAGGUCUUCAAAGAUGGCCAAAGUUUGGGAAGACUUUGAAAAAGCUGAGGAGAACAAUCAGUGAUUCAAUUAAGACUCCAGAGGAAUUCAUAUCAGAACCAUAUAGGUGAGGUCCUAAUUUAUGGUAAAAUCUCUUAACCUAUACUUCAAGUAAAUGGUUUAAAACAAUAUAGAGAGAUUAACAAUCCAAAUACUGAGAGCCUACUGGGUAAAAAGCACUGUCCGAGAAGCUGAAAGAAAGAUGAACACAGUGUGGACCAUGCCAGCGGGAGAUGACUGCUUUGUAAAAAACAGAAAACAAAAAACUCCAGCCCUUGAGCUGCUUGCACACCAUAGACACCUUGAGGCAAUUAGAGACUACAGCUGAUGCAGGCAAAACAAACUCAAUCAAAUCAGCUCACUAAAAGGACUAAAGCGGAUAGUCUGAGUGGAAAACCAUCAACUCAGUCCGGACUAAAAUCAGACAAUUUAGUCAGGGUGUGAAAGCAAACUACUGUUCCAUUAAUUUAACAGACAUAUCACUUUGAACCAGGUGUUUGGCUGACACUAAGCUUCAGCUAGAAAGCAGGAUCUGGCUCGUUUCAAUGUAUUUGUUCUAAAAUAAUAAGAGAAAGACCAGACAGAUGGGAAAACGAAAAUAAAAGCAAAUGACCAAGAUGAAUAUAGAAAUCAUAUCAAAUAUAAAGUAAAAGAAAGAGGAGGAAAGGAAAAUGAGAGGAUUGAAUUAGAUGAUUUCUAAAUGUCCUUUUCCCGUUCUAAAAAAAAAAAAUCCCUUGACUAUAUAUUAAAGAUCAGAAAUUUGAGAAAAUGAGUUAAGAUCAUCCAAACACCCCAAAUAACUCCAGGAUUAUACAUGGAAUAAUGUAUUUCAAAGGACAUUUAUUGAAAGUCCUAUUAAAUUAUUUCCAUUAAAAAAUUGUAAGAACUAGAGUGCCAGGUUUGAAGAUGAGUAAGACACAUUUAACAGUUACAUGAAGAACACAUGCUUACUUCUACAAACUGACAUUCUUUCCUGUGAUCACUUAGGUUACUGGCACUAAAAAUAUUCCAAGCAGAAGGGUAUUUUUCAGCCAGUUACAUAAUUGUAACAUACUUUGUUACUUUCUUUGAAAAAUAGAUUAAAUUACAUCAGAUCCAUAUACUUGACCCAAGAUUUCCAAUUUCUUUUAUAUGACAUCUUGGGGGUGGGGGACAGGGAAGAAAUGAUCUAAGAAAUAAAAUUGAAGCAUACCAUGUUUGCACCAUAAUAAAGCUUCCAAGUUUAAAGCUAAAUUAUCUCUAAAUAUUCUCCCUUAUGUGUCACCCUUAUAUUUUACCCUAGACAGCAUCACUCAGCUCUAGAAGUUUCUAUAGUAAUUUAGAAAGAUUGGAAAUGCUUCAUCUCCUGGAUGCUAAAAUAGUAUUUCCCAUGGGUUUAUUAUGAGGCAAAGCCAGUGGGUAAAACUGCAAGAUAAUUUUAAAUUAAACUAAAACCUGAUCUAGGUGAAUUAUAUUCAUCAAUGCUAACUUGAAUUUUUUAUGGCAAAAUAUCACUAUUUCUAUAUGUUGUUUGUACACAUUUAUCAUGUUGUACUCAGCACACAAUGUAAAAAUAAUAUAAGUAAUACACAAAUCCCAGUACCUUUAGAAGAAAUGGUUAUCAAACAUAUUCAGAUUCUCCAAAAAUGUACACUAAAAAUAAUGUUUUAAUAUCUUACAUAUAAA
This 2339-nucleotide long non-coding RNA is filed under the name Equus caballus (horse). RNAcentral's name for it is "lncRNA (ENSECAG00000056580.1)". Lineage: Eukaryota; Metazoa; Chordata; Mammalia; Perissodactyla; Equidae. The record is from RNAcentral.